CGAGUGGCGGACGGGGUGAGUAAUGUCUGGGAAACUGCCUGAUGGAGGGGGGAGUAACUACUGGAAACGGUAGCUAAUACCGCAUAACGUCGCAAGACCAAAGAGGGGGACCUUCGGGCCUCUUGCCAUCGGAUGUGCCCAGAUGGGAUUAGCUAGUAGGUGGGGUAACGGCUCACCUAGGCGACGAUCCCUAGCUGGUCUGAGAGGAUGACCAGCCACACUGGAACUGAGACACGGUCCAGACUCCUACGGGAGGCAGCAUG
RNAcentral lists this ribosomal RNA (263 nucleotides) under uncultured bacterium. RNAcentral describes it as "partial 16S ribosomal RNA". It matches the Rfam family "Bacterial small subunit ribosomal RNA", at positions 92 to 353 of the family's 1533-position model. The record is from RNAcentral.